This is a long non-coding RNA of Gallus gallus (chicken), 644 nucleotides long. RefSeq lists it as uncharacterized. The transcript has 2 exons. The record is from RefSeq and is a predicted model, not a curated record. NCBI's taxonomy places the organism in Eukaryota, Metazoa, Chordata, Aves, Galliformes, Phasianidae.
GUCCCCUCCCAGAUGCUUGUGCAUCCCCAGCUCCUCACUGGAAGGGCAGUAUGAGAAGUUGAAAAGUCCUUGGCUCUGGUUGAAUUGCUCUCGAGGUCUAAAGAUUUUGGUACAAACUUGAAAUCUCACUCAACCUCUAUGAAAGGUUGACAGGAGUUCCUGUCUGUCCUGAACACUGCUACUUGAAUGACGACUACUUAUUUGGAAUGAAAUGCAGGGGAUGACAGACAUUCCUUCAUCACUAAUAAACUGAAAUGUUUUUCUACCUUGUGGACAACCAAAAACUUCACUGAAUGUUCAAGUUGUAUACUUUUCUCCAGUCGUAUAUUCUAAUGGGAAUAUUAUUGAGAAGUCUCUCCAAAGUUUAUAGCACUGCAAAAUAAGAUAAUUGUAGGAUUAUGAAAGAUGGCAGAAGUGUUUCUCUCCAUAGGGCAUGAUUGCCCUAGCAAAGAACAGUUCAAAACCACACCUUUCAGCCAGCAGUGCUUCCAGAUCUACCAAGACAGAAAAUUGCAGACUUAUUUCUGACUGGGAGAUCUUGUUCUCCUCAUUUGUUGCUGGGAUGACCCAGCCUUAAGAUGGCCAAGCACAGAAGAAGCAACUUCAAGAUUAAUGUAACAAAAUAGAAGCUGAUAGGAUCUGAA